UAGUUCUACCUUCUAGCACAACAAAUGAGUAAUUUUACCCAUUGAGUGCAGUUUCUCCUUUUCUUCAUCUUGUGUUUCUUUUCUUUCAUUCUUUCACAAACAACAAAAUGCAAGCUGACAAGCCAAGCAACAUUUUACAUCCAGUUGCAACUUUUGAACAGACGUGGGAUUUUAUAGUAGAGUGAAAAAAUUUGUUGACAACUUGAUCACAGCUGAGAAUCAGCAAGAAUAUGACUCGGAUGUCGAAAUGGACGUGGAAACAAACCUGCCCGAGGAAGACAGAAAGGCUCCGAUGUCCUUCACACCUGAACACAACUGAGUCUUCAUACAGUGAAACAAAGCUUUUGGUCAAAUAUUCAUAACACACCCAACGGUUCCCAAACUGUGACAGUUGCCCAGGGACAUUGUGGACAGGAGGAGCUGGGGAAUCGAACUGCACCUAACAUCUUCGCCCUGUUGAUGCCUUGACUAAGAGUGUAUUCACACCUGCGUUUGAACUCCUGGUUCGGUUUGUUUGGGCAUAUGUGAACACAGCAGUCACUAAUCUAAUGUAGGGCAAAACAAGCGGGCCAAGAUUGCCUAGAGAGGGCGGUCUCUGCUCUUACUCUGGAGCAGUUUAUUUGCAGUCAGAUCGCAAUCUACCGUUCCAUCUGAAACAACUUCACACAUUGCCCGAUGAGGCGCUUUUUCACAUUGGUACAACUAGAUCU
Molecule: long non-coding RNA, 710 nt
Organism: Sander lucioperca (pikeperch)
Lineage: Eukaryota; Metazoa; Chordata; Actinopteri; Perciformes; Percidae
Exons: 5
Source: RefSeq, a predicted model, not a curated record